Molecule: ribosomal RNA, 1473 nt
Filed under: uncultured bacterium
Lineage: Bacteria
Description: bacterial SSU rRNA
Rfam family: Bacterial small subunit ribosomal RNA
Source: RNAcentral
AGAGUUUGAUCCUGGCUCAGAAUCAACGCUGGCGGCGUGCCUAACACAUGCAAGUCGAACGCGAAAGUCGUCUUCGGAUGGCGAGUAGAGUGGCGAACGGGUGAGUAACGCGUGGGUCACCUGCCCCGAGAUGGGGGAUAACCCGGGGAAACCCGGGCUAAUACCGCAUAAGCCUUAAGAGGGAAAGCCUUCGGGUGUCUUGGGAGGGGCCUGCGUCCGAUUAGCUAGUAGGUGGGGUAAGAGCUCACCUAGGCUACGAUCGGUAACCGGUCUGAGAGGACGGACGGUCACACUGGGACUGAGACACGGCCCAGACUCCUACGGGAGGCAGCAGUGGGGAAUUUUGCGCAAUGGGGGAAACCCUGACGCAGCAACGCCGCGUGGAGGAAGAAGGUUUUCGAAUCGUAAACUCCUGUCCGGAGGGAAGAAAAAAAUGACGGUACCUCUGGAGGAAGCCCCGGCUAACUCCGUGCCAGCAGCCGCGGUAAUACGGGGGGGGCUAGCGUUGUUCGGAUUUACUGGGCGUAAAGGGCGCGUAGGCGGUGGGAGAAGUUUUGGGUGAAAGCCCCCGGCUCAACCCGGGGAAGUGCCUGGAAAACCAUCUGACUAGAGUGCUGGAGAGGCAAGCGGAAUUUCUGGUGUAGCGGUGAAAUGCGUAGAUAUCAGAAGGAACCUCGGAGGCGAAGGCGGCUUGCUGGACAGACACUGACGCUGAGGCGCGAAAGCUAGGGGAGCAAACGGGAUUAGAUACCCCGGUAGUCCUAGCCGUAAACGAUGGGUACUUGGUGUAAGGGGGUUUUUGAAGUCCCUCUGUGCCGGCGAUAACUCGUUAAGUACCCCGCCUGGGGAGUACGAUCGCAAGAUUGAAACUCAAAGGAAUUGACGGGGGCCCGCACAAGCGGUGGAGCAUGUGGUUUAAUUCGACGCAACGCGAAGAACCUUACCGGGGUUUAAACUGGGGUGGAAGUUAGCAGAGAUGUUGAUGUCUUUUACGAGACUGCCUCAGAGGUGCUGCAUGGCUGUCGUCAGCUCGUGUCGUGAGAUGUUGGGUUAAGUCCCGCAACGAGCGCAACCCUUGUCUGUAGUUGCCAUCAGGUAAAGCUGGGCACCCUACGGAGACUGUCGGCGAGAAGCCGGAGGAAGGUGGGGAUGACGUCAAGUCCUCAUGGCCUUUAUGCCCCGGGCUACACACGUGCUACAAUGGGCGGUACAAAGAGUCGCCAACUCGCGAGAGUGAGCCAAUCUCAAAAAGCCGUUCUCAGUUCGGAUUGCAGUCUGCAACUCGACUGCAUGAAGUUGGAAUCGCUAGUAAUUGCGGAUCAGCACGCCGCGGUGAAUACGUUCCCGGGCCUUGUACACACCGCCCGUCACAUCACGAAAGUGGGCUGCACUAGAAGCCGUUGAGCUAACCCUUUGGGAGGCAGACGUCGACGGUGUGGUUCAUGAUUGGGGUGAAGUCGUAACAAGGUAACC